UGAAGGUCAGGCUGAAGACCUUACCGGAUUAGCUGAGAGGUGGUGCAUGGCCGUCGUCAGUUCGUACUGUGAAGCAUCCUGUUAAGUCAGGCAACGAGCGAGACCCACGUCCACAGUUGCCAGCAUACCCUCCGGGGUGAUGGGUACACUGUGGAGACCGCCGCUGCUAAAGCGGAGGAAGGAAUGGGCAACGGUAGGUCAGUAUGCCCCGAAUCUCCCGGGCUACACGCGGGCUACAAUGGUUGGUACAAUGGGCAUCUACCCCGAAAGGGGAAGGAAAUCUCUUAAAGCCAAUCGUAGUUCGGAUUGAGGGCUGCAACUCGCCCUCAUGAAGCUGGAAUCCGUAGUAAUCGCGUUUCAACAGAACGCGGUGAAUACGUCCCUGCUCCUU
This 391-nucleotide ribosomal RNA is filed under the name uncultured Methanosaeta sp. RNAcentral's name for it is "bacterial SSU rRNA". It matches the Rfam family "Archaeal small subunit ribosomal RNA", at positions 948 to 1338 of the family's 1478-position model. Lineage: Archaea; Methanobacteriati; Methanobacteriota; Methanomicrobia; Methanotrichales; Methanotrichaceae. The record is from RNAcentral.